CUACGGGAUGCUCCAGUGGGGAAUCUUGGACAAUGGGCGCAAGCCUGAUCCAGCCAUGCCGCGUGAGUGAAGAAGGUCUUCGGAUUGUAAAGCUCUUUUACCAGGGACGAUAAUGACGGUACCUGGAGAAUAAGCCCCGGCAAACUUCGUGCCAGCAGCCGCGGUAAUACGAAGGGGGCUAGCGUUGUUCGGAAUUACUGGGCGUAAAGCGCACGUAGGCGGGUCGUUAAGUCAGGGGUGAAAUCCCGGAGCUCAACUCCGGAACUGCCUUUGAUACUGGCGAUCUUGAGAUCGGAAGAGGUGAGUGGAAUUCCCAGUGUAGAGGUGAAAUUCGUAGAUAUUGGGAAGAACACCAGUGGCGAAGGCGGCUCACUGGUCCGACACUGACGCUGAGGUGCGAAAGCGUGGGGAGCAAACAGGAUUGGAUACCCUAGUAGUC
This 439-nucleotide ribosomal RNA is filed under the name uncultured bacterium. RNAcentral's name for it is "partial 16S ribosomal RNA". It matches the Rfam family "Bacterial small subunit ribosomal RNA", at positions 339 to 795 of the family's 1533-position model. The record is from RNAcentral.